Stegodyphus dumicola is the source of this 375-nucleotide long non-coding RNA. The record is from RefSeq and is a predicted model, not a curated record. NCBI's taxonomy places the organism in Eukaryota, Metazoa, Arthropoda, Arachnida, Araneae, Eresidae.
UCCAAAUUGAAGCUAUGAAGAGCCUGGAGUUACUAGAAAUGUAUCUGUAUAGAAAUCCUGUGCAUUAUAUUUGAAUAUACUAGGGCGGACGAUCUCCGUUUCUUCAUCUUUCACCUAGGAUUUUCUUUCUGCCGGAAGAAAAGGACUAAUAAACUAGAGAGGCAUGGAUAGAUCUACUCUGAGUUCCACAUCUGUCGACCAAGGACUAAAUUCCAUGUUAAGCGCUAGAACGUCUACUACCGUCAUCAGUGUAGCAGCAAUAUUGUUUUGGUAAAAAAGGAACUGAGAUCCAAUUUAACUGCAGUGAUAAUAAAGUUUUAUAUAUUUAUGGUAACUAUUAUAUUGAACUUCUUCCAUUGCUUAUCACAAAACUUC